CCUACGGGUGGCUGCAGUGGGGAAUUUUGGACAAUGGGCGCAAGCCUGAUCCAGCCAUGCCGCGUGCAGGAUGAAGGCCCUCGGGUUGUAAACUGCUUUUGUACGGAACGAAAAGCCUCUCUCGAAUAAAGAGGGGUGAUGACGGUACCGUAAGAAUAAGCACCGGCUAACUACGUGCCAGCAGCCGCGGUAAUACGUAGGGUGCGAGCGUUAAUAGGAAUUGCUCGGCGGAACUUGUGCGCAAGCGGUGAAAUCCCCGGGAUCAACCUGGGAACGGCCAUUGUGACGGCAAGGCUGGAGUACGGCAGAGGUGGAUGGAAUUCCGCGUGUAGCAGUGAAAUGCGUAGAUAUGCGGAGGAACACCGAUGGCGAAGGCAGUCCCCUGGGCCUGUACUGACGCUCAUGCACGAAAGCGUGGGGAGCAAACAGGAUUAGAUACCCCAGUAGUC
RNAcentral lists this ribosomal RNA (449 nucleotides) under uncultured bacterium. Its description in RNAcentral is "partial 16S ribosomal RNA". It matches the Rfam family "Bacterial small subunit ribosomal RNA", at positions 338 to 795 of the family's 1533-position model. The record is from RNAcentral.